GACGAACGCUGGCGGCGUGCCUAAUACAUGCAAGUAGAACGCUGAAGCGAGGAGCUUGCUCUUCUGGUAUUAGCUGCGAACGGGUGAGUAACGCGUGGAUAACCUACCUAUUAGACUGGGAUAACUACUGGAAACGGUAGCUAAUACCGCAUAACAUUUUGUACCACAUGGUUUUUAAGUGAAAGACGCACUUGCUGUACCACAAGAUUGACCUGGCGUUUCAUUAGCUGUAUGGUAGGGAAACGGCUUACCAAGGCAACGAUGCAUAGCCGACCUGAGAGGGGGAUCGGCCAAAUGGGAACGGGGAAAGGGUCCAAACUCCUAGGGAGGGAACCAUUAGGAAUUCUCGGGAAUGGGGGGAAAGCCUGCCGGGGAAACGCGCGUGGGUGGAGGAGGGUCUUCGGUCGUAAAGCCCUGUUGUAAAGCGAGAAAGGGUGGGAGAAUGAACAGUGCACACUGUGACGGUAGCUUAUCAGAAAGCGACGGCUAACUACGUG
RNAcentral lists this ribosomal RNA (497 nucleotides) under uncultured bacterium. Its description in RNAcentral is "partial 16S ribosomal RNA". It matches the Rfam family "Bacterial small subunit ribosomal RNA", at positions 28 to 507 of the family's 1533-position model. The record is from RNAcentral.